This 550-nucleotide ribosomal RNA is filed under the name uncultured archaeon. Its description in RNAcentral is "bacterial SSU rRNA". It matches the Rfam family "Archaeal small subunit ribosomal RNA", at positions 326 to 878 of the family's 1478-position model. The record is from RNAcentral.
CGGGGAGCAGCAGGCGCGAAAACUCUGCAAUAAGCGAAAGCUUGACAGGGUUAUUCUGAGUGAUUUCCGCUAAGGAGAUCUUUUGGCACCUCUAAAAAUGGUGCAGAAUAAGGGGUGGGCAAGCCUGGUGUCAGCCGCCGCGGUAAUACCAGCACCCCGAGUGGUCGGGACGAUUAUUGGGCCUAAAGCAUCCGUAGCCGGUUCUACAAGUCUUCCGUUAAAUCCACCUGCUUAACAGUUGGGCUGCAGAGGAUACUAUAGAGCUAGGAGGCGGGAGAGGCAAGCGGUACUUAGUGGGUAGGGGUAAAAUCCGUUGAUCCACUGAAGACCACCAGUGGCGAAGGCGGCUUGCCAGAACGCGCUCGACGGUGAGGGAUGAAAGCUGGGGGAGCAAACCGGAUUAGAUACCCGGGUAGUCCCAGCUGUAAACGAUGCAGACUCGGUGAUGAAUAGGCUUCGUGCCUAUUCAGUGCCGCAGGGAAGCCGUUAAGUCUGCCGCCUGGGGAGUACGGUCGCAAGACUGAAACUUAAAGGAAUUGGCGGGGGAGCA